AUACAGAGGGUGCAAGCGUUAAUCGGAUUUACUGGGCGUAAAGCGCGCGUAGGUGGCUAAUUAAGUCAAAUGUGAAAUCCCCGAGCUUAACUUGGGAAUUGCAUUCGAUACUGGUUAGCUAGAGUAUGGGAGAGGAUGGUAGAAUUCCAGGUGUAGCGGUGAAAUGCGUAGAGAUCUGGAGGAAUACCGAUGGCGAAGGCCGCCAUCUGGCCUAAUACUGACACUGAGGUGCGAAAGCAUGGGGAGCAAACAGGAUUAGAUACCCUGGUAGUCCAUGCCGUAAACGAUGUCUACUAGCCGUGGGGGCCCUUGAGGCUUUAGUGGCGCAGCUAACGCGAUAAGUAGACCGCCUGGGGAGUACGGUCGCAAGACUAAAACUCAAAUGAAUUGACGGGG
Molecule: ribosomal RNA, 396 nt
Filed under: uncultured bacterium
Lineage: Bacteria
Description: partial 16S ribosomal RNA
Rfam family: Bacterial small subunit ribosomal RNA
Source: RNAcentral